This 1331-nucleotide long non-coding RNA is filed under the name Mytilus galloprovincialis (Mediterranean mussel). Lineage: Eukaryota; Metazoa; Mollusca; Bivalvia; Mytilida; Mytilidae. The record is from RNAcentral.
GGCAAUUUGUAAAAUGCCUAACCUUGACAGGCAUUAUACAAAAUGACUAAAAAUACCUAGUCAUUUUGUAAAAUGACUGAAAUUUUGAAGCAAAAUUCUACAAAUUGCCUGUUCAGUUUCAGGCAAUUUGUAGAAGAAGGUUAUCAUUGAAAAAAGUGGACAAAAUGGUUCAUUAGAAUUAAUUUAUUUUCCAAAAACCAGCUGGAAAGGGUGGUAUAUCAGAUGAUGUGUACUUUUUUGUGAAACUACAUAAAGUACAUACUCACUCUGUAUUUCAGAUACCAGUAGUAUAUUUGUGAUUAUUUUGUCAAAAUGACAGAAGGACACAUUGUUCUGUCAAUAGAACAAAAUUUACAAUAGAAAUUUUAGAAAUUCUGGGUUAAAAAAAGUAAAUUAAAAUAAAACAUAGGAAUAUAUCAGAGAAAAAAAAUAUUUUUGACUGAUUGUUUGUUGUUUGCUUUCAGUCGCAAACAUGUCAUAGAUAUAGGAAGAUGUGGUGUGAGUGCCAAUGAGACAACUCUCCAUCCAAAUAACAAUUUAAAAAAAAGUAAACCAUUAUAGGUCAAUGUACGGCCUUCAACACGGAGCCUUGGCUCACACCGAACAACAAGCUAUAAAGGGCCCCAAAAUUACUAGUGUAAAACCAUUCAAACGGGAAAACCAACGGUCUAAUGCUUUUUUAGACAAGAACAAAUUGGUUAUAAUCCAUAUGGGUUAGUUCUGUAGGGGAUUGACCCGAAUAAAGGACAGACGCUUGCAAUUGCAAUGAAGGUAUUUUGGAUAUGGACAGAAAAUUCCACCAGCAGAACAGCCAUAAAUAAAAAUAAAGAAAAUGAAAAAUUCUUAACGUGAAAACAGUAUUGCAUUUUACUAACAUAUGACAAUAUUUAAUAUCCCCAAAUAAUGAGAAUUUUAAUUUUAUACACCCACAUCUAAACAGAUUUCCCUGUGCAAUAUGGGUUUUGCCAUACAAGGCUGUGUUUUGAUGUGAUGCAAAGAUAUGGUUGGUUGUGUCGUCGGAUACAGUUUUCAAUCAAGAUAGCCUAUUGGAAAUUGUGGCUAGGUUUACAUUUAUUUGUGAAAAAAAAUACAAAAAUUUUUAAAAAAUGUUGAAAAUUUACUAUAAAGAGCAAUAACUCCAUAAGGUGUCAAUUGACAAUUGCUUAUUGCGAAUGUGUGAUGAUUCAAGUUUCUCCAUAUAUGGUUGAAGUACUAAAACCAGAUUUUACAGCAAACAAUUAUGUAUUUACAAAAGUUCAGGACAAAUAUUGUGUAACAGUUCUGUCAUCAAACAUUUUGAGAAAUGAUAAAUAAUUGUCGAGUUUUUUGAA